RNAcentral lists this unclassified non-coding RNA (233 nucleotides) under Capnodiales sp. RNAcentral describes it as "partial contains 5.8S ribosomal RNA, internal transcribed spacer 2, and large subunit ribosomal RNA". The record is from RNAcentral. Lineage: Eukaryota; Fungi; Ascomycota; Dothideomycetes; Capnodiales.
CGCACAUUGCGCCCUUUGGUAUUCCGAAGGGCAUGCCCGUUCGAGCGUCAUUACACCAAUCAAGCCCGGCUUGGUAUUGGGCCCCGGGGCGACCCGGACCCCAAAAGCGUCGGCUGGAAACCCAUCAAUCUCAGCGUCGUGGCAACCAAUUCGCUGGCGAGAGGGGGGUUUCGCGCCGUUAACUUUCAUUUAAGGUUGACCUCGGAUCGGGUAGGGAUACCCGCUGAACUUAA